This 440-nucleotide ribosomal RNA is filed under the name uncultured bacterium. Its description in RNAcentral is "partial 16S ribosomal RNA". It matches the Rfam family "Bacterial small subunit ribosomal RNA", at positions 338 to 795 of the family's 1533-position model. The record is from RNAcentral.
CCUACGGGAGGCCGCAGUGGGGAAUAUUGCACAAUGGGGGAAACCCUGAUGCAGCGACGCCGCGUGAGUGAAGAAGUAUUUCGGUAUGUAAAGCUCUAUCAGCAGGGAAGAAAAUGACGGUACCUGAUUAAGAAGCCCCGGCUAACUACGUGCCAGCAGCCGCGGUAAUACGUAGGGGGCAAGCGUUAUCCGGAUUUACUGGGUGUAAAGGGAGCGUAGACGGCAGCACAAGUCUGGAGUGAAAUGCCGGGGCUUAACCCCGGAACUGCUUUGGAAACUGUGCAGCUAGAGUGCAGGAGAGGUAAGUGGAAUUCCUAGUGUAGCGGUGAAAUGCAUAGAUAUUAGGAGGAACACCAGUGGCGAAGGCGGCUUACUGGACUGCAACUGACGUUGAGGCUCGAAAGCGUGGGGAGCGAACAGGAUUAGAUACCCGAGUAGUC